Molecule: long non-coding RNA, 1605 nt
Organism: Oryctolagus cuniculus (rabbit)
Lineage: Eukaryota; Metazoa; Chordata; Mammalia; Lagomorpha; Leporidae
Source: Ensembl
AUGGCCCAAGUGCUUGGGCCUCUGCACCCGCAUGGGAGACCAGGAGGAAGCACCUGGCUCCUGGCUUCGGAUCAGCCCACUCUGGCUGUAGCGGCCAUUUGGGGGGUGAACCAAUGGAGGGAAGACCUUCCUCUCUGUCUCCUCUCUCACUGUCUAAUUCUAUCUGUCAAAUUAAAAAAAAAGUGGCUCUGGUGGCAGCGUGGGACAGCUCUGGCUCAGAGGCAUCUUCCCCACAGAGAAACAGGAACCAUCAGGGGACGGAAGUGCAGAUUUUGCUACAUGAGGAUUUCAGACUUUUCCGCCUUCAACUCAUUCACCCUUCAAGAAGGACUUCCAGGGAAGCCUCAACGAGAUCUCCCUUUCUCCCAAAAGCAAAGUUCGGGUCCCUGCUGCGUGACCUCAGGGCCACACAUGAGAGAAUUUCCAGAAAGUUCCACAUUGGAAGUACACGGGAUCUCCAGAAAGGUCAUCGAAAAUGUUUAUUAUGAAAAACUAUGCAUGGAUUUUAAUUUUUCUGCACCCAAAUAAACUUAUUUUUUAAUUGCAAACUUUUAAAGUCUCCUCAUAUUGUGGUUCUUUUACUUUCUGUUUUGUUCAACUGGGAGUCCCUUGAGCACAGAGCUUAAUCUUGAUCAUUUUUAAAGAAUAUAGGCCGGCGCCGCGGCUCACUAGGCUAAUCCUCCACCUUGUGGCGCCGGCACACCGGGUUCUAGUCCUGGUCAGGGCGCUGAAUUCUCUCCCAGUUGCCCCUCUUCUAGGCCAGCUCUCUGCUGUGGCCAGGGAGUGCAGUGGAGGAUGGCUCAAGUGCUUGGGCCCUGCACCCCAUGGGAGACCAGGAGAAGCACCUGGCUCCUGCCAUCAGAUCAGCGCGGUGCGCCGGCCGCAGUGCACCGGCUGCGGCGGCCAUUGGAGGGUGAACCAACGGCAAAGGAAGACCUUUCUCUCUGUCUGUCUCUCUCUCACUGUCCACUCUGCCUGUCAAAAAAAAAAAAAAAAAGAAUAUUUGUUUUAUCUAUUUGAAAGGCAGAGUUACAGAGGGUGGGGAGAGAAGAAGGGAGAGAGAGGUCUUUUGUCCACUGGUUCACUCCCCAAAUGGCUUUAACAACUGGGGCUGGGCCAGGCCGAAGCCAGGAGCCAGGAGCUUCAUCCAGGUCUCCCCCCGGGGCCCCGGCUCCAACUUCCAAACUUCCUGCAAGGAAGCUGAACCUGCCCAUCGCCAUGAGCCCAAUCCAGCAUAAAGGUCACGGUCGAGAGCAUGGAUUUUAGAAUCACACAGACUCAGCGCCAGCGCUGUGGCGUAAAAAUAGAUUAAGCCUCUGCCUAUGGAGCUGGCAUCCCAUUGGGUCCCGGUUCAUGUCCUAGCUGCUCCUCUUCCAAUCCAGCUCCCUGCUAAUGCACCUGGGAAAGCAGUAGAAGAUGGCCCAAAUACUAGGGUCCCUGCACACACACGGGAGACCCAGAAGAAGCUCCUGGCUUCAGAUCUGCCCAGCUCCGGCCGUUGUGGCCAUUGAGGGAGUGAACCAAUGGGUGGAAAACCCUCUCUCUGUCUCUCCCUCUCUUUAUCUGUCCCUCUACCUCUCAAAUAAACAAUCUUAAACAACAACA